CCUCAGAGGACAGACUGAAGGUCCAUCAGAGUGCUGUGGACCGCCUGGGUCUGGCCUGCUACAAUAAAGGAGCGUUCUCCAGCUUGUUUUACCUGGCCCACGAGUUUCACGAUGACCCAAAAGGAGGAAUCCUGACCAACACCAACUGUGGAGGUGAGAACUGUAACCGCGGGGCCGCGCUCGGGGCCCUGCUGGGGGCCGGGGCCGCCCACAUCGGAUCCAGAGUCCCACAGGAGUGGAAGGAUGA
Long non-coding RNA from Nematolebias whitei (Rio pearlfish), 247 nucleotides. RefSeq lists it as uncharacterized. Lineage: Eukaryota; Metazoa; Chordata; Actinopteri; Cyprinodontiformes; Rivulidae. The record is from RefSeq and is a predicted model, not a curated record. The transcript has 3 exons.